RNAcentral lists this unclassified non-coding RNA (392 nucleotides) under Bombus terrestris (buff-tailed bumblebee). RNAcentral's name for it is "misc RNA ENSBTSG00005036010.1". Lineage: Eukaryota; Metazoa; Arthropoda; Insecta; Hymenoptera; Apidae. The record is from RNAcentral.
ACUGAAACCGAAAGGUCUUUGACCAUCACGGCCAUAUUAGACUUCGAAUAUUCGAUGGACAGACGAGUACUGUAUCGACAAUCAGAAACGGUAUUCGAGAGGGGAGAAAGAUAUAUGGCUGUGAGCGCUCGAAAGGAAUCCAAAGAGAGUCUUCACGAAACUCUUUCGUUGCUCCAUUAUACGCGAAAUUUAUGGUAUAGAACGUUACUUCAGUUCGAGAAGAAAAUGGAAAACCAAGGUUGAGAGGAAACUCUGUGCGUUAGGUUAAAUAGAAUGUAAUUCUAAGAAAAUACUGAACAUUUUAGAGACCAUUUAGUAUAUUACUACCACGGUUAGAUUAUCAAUUUCGUGGCUUUAAUAAGUUUUCUAUUUAGAAAUCACCUAUAGUGGCU